UGGCACCAUGGUCAGCAAACCAGUCUCUGGUUGUUUUGGUAUUGUGGGCAGGUGCCAGGUCCUGCUGGAAACGGAAAUCUUUGGGCUCUAUUUUCGUACCUCGCCGAUGACGCAACGCAUGUGCAGCGUAAGUCAGGUCCACCGCGCCGACAAGGCGUUCCCAAGCUCAAUUUGGUAUUUUGGUGAGCGGCGCAGCCCGGCAUAAGUAUCCCCCCUCCCUAACUCAGCUCCUCCCAGCGGCGUAAGUCGUAGGGAGGGAGGACAGAGGGCGUGGAGUGGGUUUAACACAGCCGAGACCUGUAUUGACCAAUAACAUCAGCUCCUCUCCUCGCCUUUAAAUCCGCCACCGGCGAGGCGUAUUACUAUUUUCGUGAAGUAGUCAAAGAGAUCAAGAGAUGGCUGGAGACAGUAAUGCCACACGAUGGCGACAGAAGGCAGCCCCUCAACAAGUGUCACUGUAAGCACUUCAGAGGGCAUCCUUCACACUCUCUCAUAUGGGCACAGAUGGAUUUGGUGUGUGUAAGUUUGGACCCACUAGUAAGACAAACACCCUUUCCACAAAUAAAGACACUCACAUAAAGUUGCAUAUAUUCAAACCCCGUAUUCAAACACCAAGUUCUCCUGUGCCUGAUUAGCGUUUUGGGUAUGUUGGCUUUGAAAGAGAUAAAAUUACAAUCAAACCCAGGCAUGAGUGAUUCUGAUAGCAACAAUGACAUGGGAAUGCAAUAAUAAAAAGGUCUUCAAAUGAUGAUUCUGGUGGAUAAAGUAGUCCUAAACCUUUGUCACAAUUUCAAAACUCAAGUCUUUAUUGAGAAAACAUGAUGAAGCAUUAUCUCUUCAAAAUACCAGGCAGUCAGGGGAAUAGUGGACAUGUUGCUGGUUUUAGCCUUGUUCUUUUUUGUAUUUACCUCUCAUAAAUGGUAAAACCAGUGAGGUUGUACUUUUCAAAAAUAAUGACUCAUGCACCACUUCCCUUGUCAGCACACUCCUUUGAAGAACUGGUGACAGGGGGCUGCCUUUGAGAUCUUAAGGUUGAAACCUGACAGCACCUAAAACACAAAAGAUCAGAACCAAAGCAAGGUUUAUUACACAUCCUUCAAAAUCCAGUGGCGUUGAUUAUGGCGUGAUCUAAUCAAGGUGAGAAAAUAUCCCGAAACAUAGGGUGGCAGAGCCUCACCCUGUGGUGGAGGUCCUCAUUAAAAACUAAACUUGUGUUUCAUCUGCUGCCUUGUGACAAUCCUGACCUUCCCACUAAUUAAAAAUGAGAGCUCUGGAUUAGUGCGCACUAAAUUAUUUUAAGGAGGCUCAGCACACUUGGUGAAGAGGAAUUUAGGGCUGCAGUUUGAAUCAUGCCCUGUGUUAGCAUCACAUGUGCGACCAUCUGAGUUGUAGACCUGUCCAUUCAACUAAUCUCAUAUUGGCUGGCCUGAGAUUUAUUUUCAGACCAGAGGAACAACCAGGCCUGAUUAAUAAGUCCUCAAACAAAUAGAUACAGUCAGAUCUACUUAUCUCUGAUACUUCAUACAAACUCUCAUAUCUUCUCAUAUUGAUUUUCUCUGCAUCAGGAGAGACCAUCAAUCUACCUUCAAUUUAGGCCAAUUUCUGAGCACAGCUUUCAUUUGCAGCCAACUGUCAAGACUGGGCUUAAGUCGUGUGUUGUUUUUAUCAGUUAAGGAACAUCAAACCUGCUUAAAUAUCUCCUGUGUUUUCAUCUGCUGACAUUUCCAUCCCUCUCACUCUGAAUAUGUGCUGAUCCAUGCAGGUCAGUCCAGACCUUUUCCUCUAAUAGACACACAUUUAUCCUUGGAUAUUUGAACAGCACCAGAAUUUUUACCAGCCUUUUGAUCACUUAAAGAACCUGUAAGAAGUUUUUGAUGGGUUAUAAAACAGAUUGAGAUAAACAGUGACACCACUUUACGACUUAACGAUGCCAACAUGACCCUCAAUAAAACAAUGACCUAUUCUAAUCCUAACUUUUAAUGCCUGCAACCACUGUUAGGUGGGGGUAGGUGUCAAACAGCACAAUGAAAUGUGGUGUUUUUACUUUGUUCAUCAAAAAUAUUCAGAGUAAGUGACACUUUUCAUUAUUAAAAGAGAGCAUGUGAGAAAACUAAGGUCGCUUUCAAACCAGAGCUGUUUGGUCCGCUUUAAACGGACCAGAGUUCGUUUCCUCGGAUAGUCCGCUUCGUUUGGGCAGGUGUGAAAGCUCAUCCGAACUCUGGUGCGGACCAAACAAGCGAACUCUGGUCCGCCUGAAAACGUGGGUCUCGGAUCACUUGCAAGUGAACCCUGGUUCGGUGAAAGCUCACCGGACCAAACACAGGACCAAAUGUACGUAAUGACGCUAUACGCAGUGCAUCUUGGGUAGAGGAAGCACGGCAUCACUUGUUGCCAUAGCAACAAGUGCCUGCUGACAUUAGCAGUUGCUAGCUAGCUUAGCUCAAUUGUCUGAACAACAAUAACCCAUAAAUUUACAAUUUGGCAUAUUUAAACAAAAUCAGAUCACAACUACCAACAGUCACAGUCCUUUAACUCUGAGCUCAUAUAUUGUCAGGGAUUGAUCCUGUUAUUUUUCUAACUUUGACGAUCUAACAUGUGACAAGCUACGGUAGCAUUAAAGGAAUAGUUGCUAACAUUUACACAACACACACAACACAGUUUACUAACAUUGUAGCAUUCCAUAAAAUAAUGUGACGAAGCACAAUACAAGACGGCUAGUCCACUCCUGUUUGUAAUCGUGAGGUUACAUACCCCUCCUACUUUGUCCAAUCGACGAGCGCCCCUUUCAACCACGUGAUGCUGCUCGGAAGUUCGAUGCGCUUUAGAAAUCACAGUGUGAAAGCAGAACUGAAACAAGUGAUAAAUGCAACACUGUUGUGACUUUCAGCUCCCCAAUCAAACCGAGUCCGCUUGGUCAGGUGUGAAAGCGACCUAAGUCAUAGCUUUACAUCUGAGGCAAGCCUAAGCAUUAAUUUGGCUCUAAAUGUAACCAUGCUAGCAUACCUCAACCAUGCUUACAUGCAUGAUUUUAUAAUGUUAUUUAAAGCUUGCAGGUCCAAGCUUUCGGUCGUUUUAGAUAGAACAGCUCCAGGUUUCAGAAACAGUUGCUGGCUUUUAUUUCCCAAACUGUUGUCCAGAAAACUGAUCUGUGGUGCCAUUGUCUUUAGGAAGAGAAAAUAGCUGCGAAUGUCCUUCACAACAUUAACAAGAAACUUCCAGGGACAUAUUGACUCCAAAGUGCAGAUGAGAGGAAAAAGACAAGCGGUGAAACCAGGUAGGGGUGUCUUGGACAGGGCUACCAGGUGGGUCCAAAACCAUGGUCCUGAUAGGCCGGCACUAGCAGACAUCACUGUCUGUGUGUCUCAUAUUACGAAAUUUCACUGUAACAUUGUAUGUCUGUAUUUAGGUAUGGAUCAGCAUGAUAGGUCUCCUUUAUUGCUCACCUACUGAUCACUGAGUGUUCUACUGAGGAAAUUUCAGCAAAUUUCAGGUCUUCAAACUUUAGUUUAGCUCAGGGCACCUUGAUUUGGAUGUAAAAUUUUCACCUCUGUAAGAGACCUUUACAUGUAAACUUCUAUUGCACCUGGGUGAAACAGUUUUUAAUACAAACUAAAGAGUAAGUCUGGUCUCCGCCUCUUGUUGUUUUCCACAGGCCUUUGCAGAUGCAGUGAGGCAAAGAACAAGAGCAGAUGAAACAGCCAAGCUGUUGUGUGGAAAAUGUUUUCUGGCACCGGCGUCCGCUGCUCUCGUUUGAAUCUCUCGCAUUAUGAGGUAGUUACUGUAAGCCAGGGCCAUAAGUGAUCCCUAGAUGCACGCUGGCACAACACCACUCAGUCUGUUUGUAGCUUCUGGGUCCUCUAGCCUCAUUUGAACUACCUGCUUCAUUGCACUGUUUAUAUUAAAAUACACUGCUCUUAUCAUAAAGGGAUACAUCUAUUCUCUGGAGACAGGAGGCUCAUUAUUAUUUUGAAUCUAAUUGCAGAAAAUUAAAGGUGGUGGGGGAGACAGAAUGGCUUUUGCUCCAAACUGGUUCACACUGUGGUGAGGAACAUUUACAAUUUACAUUGUUACAGCUUCAUUUGGUAGAUACUUUCCCAUAGCGU
Xyrichtys novacula (pearly razorfish) is the source of this 4103-nucleotide non-coding RNA. Lineage: Eukaryota; Metazoa; Chordata; Actinopteri; Labriformes; Labridae. The record is from the annotation of a GenBank genome assembly.